RNAcentral lists this ribosomal RNA (493 nucleotides) under uncultured bacterium. Its description in RNAcentral is "partial 16S ribosomal RNA". It matches the Rfam family "Bacterial small subunit ribosomal RNA", at positions 29 to 523 of the family's 1533-position model. The record is from RNAcentral.
AUUGAACGCUGGCGGCAUGCUUUACACAUGCAAGUCGAACGGUAACAGGUUAAGCUGACGAGUGGCGAACGGGUGAGUAAUGCAUCGGAACGUGCCCGAUCGUGGGGGAUAACGCAGCGAAAGCUGCGCUAAUACCGCAUACGAUCUGAGGAUGAAAGCGGGGGACCGUAAGGCCUCGCGCGAUCGGAGCGGCCGAUGUCAGAUUAGGUAGUUGGUGGGGUAAAGGCUCACCAAGCCGACGAUCUGUAGCCGGUCUGAGAGGACGACCAGCCACACUGGGACUGAGACAGGGCCCAGACUUCUACGGGAGGCAGCAGUGGGGAAUUUUGGACAAUGGGCGAAAGCCGGAUCCAGCAAUGCCGCGUGCAGGAAGAAGGCCUUCGGGUUGUAAACUGCUUUUGUACGGAGCGAAAAGGCUCUCUCUAAUACAGGGGGCUCAUGACGGUACCGUAAGAAUAAGCACCGGCUAACUACGUGCCAGCCGCCGCGGUAA